GUAUGGUGCUGGGUGCAGAUGCAGUGUGGCUCUGGAUAGCACCUUAUGGACAGUUGUGUCCCCAAGGAAGGAUGAGAAUAGCUACUGAAGUCCUAAAGAGCAAGCCUAACUCAAGCCAUUGGCACACAGGCAUUAGACAGAAAGCUGGAAGUUGAAAUGGUGGAGUCCAACUUGCCUGGACCAGCUUAAUGGUUCUGCUCCUGGUAACGUUUUUAUCCAUGGAUGACUUGCUUGGGUAAGGACAUGAAGACAGUUCCUGUCAUACCUUUUAAAGGUAUGGAGAGUCGGCUUGACUACACUGUGUGGAGCAAGUUUUAAAGAAGCAAAGGACUCAGAAUUCAUGAUUGAAGAAAUGCAGGUUAGUUUAAACUUUGAAGGAAAUUUUUAAGGUGGCAAAAGGUUUUGGUGGCAUAUACACCUUAAUCUGUAGAUGGGAGUGAUUAGCUGUUUAAAAGUUAAAAUGUGACUGAGAAGGAAAUUGAGUAGGGCAAAUUUUAAAUGGGUAUUAUUUUUCAUCUUCAAACAGGCAGACCUGUUAUCCUAAACUAGGGUUUUUAAUGACCACAACAAGCAAGCAUGCAGCUUACUGCUUGAAAGGGUCUUGCCUCACCCAAGCUAGAGUGCAGUGGCCUUUGAAGCUUACUACAGCCUCAAACUUCUGGGCUCAAGUGAUCCUCAGCCUCCCAGUGGUCUUUGUAGACUGCCUGAUGGAGUCUCAUGGCACAAGAAGAUUAAAACAGUGUCUCCAAUUUUAAUAAAUUUUUGCAAUCCA
Molecule: long non-coding RNA, 772 nt
Filed under: Homo sapiens (human)
Lineage: Eukaryota; Metazoa; Chordata; Mammalia; Primates; Hominidae
Description: non-protein coding GAS5:32
Source: RNAcentral